UAUUUUUUAUCUAGAAUGCAGGCCUGGCAGCUGACAUCGCGAAGGUCCAGGCUCUGUAAUAUCGACAUUUCUAGUAUUAAACUGGUAAAUUGUUUUCUGAGGCCAUCAGUUGAUUCAGGUUAUAUAAAAUAUGACAAAUGUCAAAUUACCAUUGAAGACAAAAAAAUGCGAUAUGAAUUUGAUGAAAUAUUUGGGCCUGAAACUUCACAGAGCAGCUUUUAUGAUGCUGCUGUGGCACCAUUUGUAAAGGAUGCUUUAGAAGGCUUCAAUUGUACCUUCAUCACCUAUGGACAAAGCAAGAGUGGAAAGGCUUACACACUGGAUGGCACUUCACCUAUAAAUCUUUUCUCCAUAACAAAUGAGUGCAAGAGUGGAAUAAUUCCAAGGACUUGUAACGAUGUACUGAAAACUCUCUACUGUUCAGGAAAUAUUGAUUUUAUGGUCAAAAUAUCAUAUUUUGCAAUAUGCAAAGAAAAGAUUGUCGACCUCUUGGCUGAUAGUUUCACUGAAAAGAAACUGAAAAUUUGUGAAGGAUCUAAAGGAGAAAUGUAUGUUCAAAAUUUGAAAGAGGUUGUGGUAAAAAACAUCCCUGAAUUCAACAGAGUCCUAAAAGAGGGCAAUAAAAAAAUGUACACUUCAUUAAAUAAACAAUCAAGUUUCUUCCACUCUGUUUUUACAUUAAAGGUUAUUGUAAAUAAUAACAUGUCUAAUACAUGUAAAAUUGGUAAAAUAACUUUUGUUAAAUUGGCUGGAUCAAACCCUACAUCAUUUUCUGGAGUUACCAGUGGUACUGAGUCGCAGAAUGAAAAUUUAGAAAAGUCACUGUCAACUCUAAGCCGUGUUAUCACACAUUUGGCCAAUGGAACUGCAUACAUCCCUUUCAGGAAUUCAAAUUUAACUCACUAUCUGAAAAGUUCGAUUCAAGGAAACACAAAAACAGUUCUGAUCGCCACUUUGUCUGCUGCUCACAAGGAUGUUGAUGAAACACUUAAAACUCUCAAUUUUGCAACUCUAGCAAAGAGUUUGAUAAACUUUGUUUUUGCAAAUAUUUUAAGAAGCGAUGAAUUAAAGGCACAGAGAAUUUACUAUGAGCGUGAAGUACGUAAAGAGUAUGUAGAACUAAAGUCAACUAACCCAACACUCUUUAAUGAAAAAUUGAAAAGAGAAUUGGCACAAAAGCACCAAGAUGAAAAGGAAGUUCAGGACUAUCUAAACAAACUAAAGGAAAAGAACUACUUUCGAAUUCAAGCUCAACAAAAGCUGAGAAAUGAGAAACAAAUAAAACUUAAAAUGGACUAUGCAAAUAUGAAAGUGGAAAUUGAUAAAUUAAGGAAAGAAAUUACAGAAUAUGAACAUUCGUUUAGAUCUUUUGAAAAUAAUCUCACCAUUAUGAAAGAGGGGAUAAUGGAUACAUUGUGGAAAACUUAUGUACAUAAUUCUUUAGAGAUUAUCAGCAACACAAACAACUUAAAAACUAAUGUACAAGAGAAACAGGGAUUAGAAAAACGACAACUACAAAAAAAUUCUUGUUCAAGCAAAUUCAAUACACAAGUUAAGAAGUUUGUGCAUAUAGAAACAGAAAUAGAGUUCAUGAAUACAAAAAUGAUAUACAAGGUGUCAUGAAAUCAUUUGAAAGAGAUUUCAACUUAUUGCAGACUAACUUCAUGACAAAGAAAAAUACUAAUAUCAAUUUUCGUGAUCAUGUGAGUUUGCUGAUAUCGAUUUUAAAGGAGAAUGUUAAACAAACAAAGAUAAGUUCCUGCUAGUAAAUUUUA
Molecule: unclassified non-coding RNA, 1775 nt
Filed under: Cimex lectularius (bed bug)
Lineage: Eukaryota; Metazoa; Arthropoda; Insecta; Hemiptera; Cimicidae
Description: kinesin-like protein KLP2, transcript variant X4
Source: RNAcentral